RNAcentral lists this ribosomal RNA (505 nucleotides) under uncultured bacterium. RNAcentral describes it as "bacterial SSU rRNA". It matches the Rfam family "Bacterial small subunit ribosomal RNA", at positions 14 to 509 of the family's 1533-position model. The record is from RNAcentral.
UGAUCCUGGCUCAGGAUGAACGCUAGCUACAGGCUUAACACAUGCAAGUCGAGGGGCAGCGGGAAGUUAGCUUGCUAACUUUGCCGGCGACCGGCGCACGGGUGAGUAACGCGUAUCCAACCUUCCCCUUAGUAGGGCAUAGCCCGGCGAAAGUCGGAUUAAUACCCUAUGUUAUCCGAAGAGGACAUCUGAAUUGGAUUAAAGAUUCAUCGCUAAGGGAUGGGGAUGCGUCUGAUUAGGUAGUAGGCGGGUAACGGCCCACCUAGCCUACGAUCAGUAGGGGUUCUGAGAGGAAGGUCCCCCACAUUGGAACUGAGACACGGUCCAAACUCCUACGGGAGGCAGCAGUGAGGAAUAUUGGUCAAUGGGCGCGAGCCUGAACCAGCCAAGUAGCGUGCAGGAUGACGGCCCUAUGGGUUGUAAACUGCUUUUAUACAGGGAUAAAGUGCACCACGUGUGGUGUUUUGUAGGUACUGUAUGAAUAAGGACCGGCUAAUUCCGUGCC